GACGAACGCUGGCGGCGUGCCUAAUACAUGCAAGUCGAACGCAGUGGGGACGGGUGAGUAACACGUGGGUAACCUCCCAUCAGAGGGGAUAAAACUUUGAAACAGGUGCUAAACCGAUACUGCUGGAUGGACCCGCGGUGCAUUAGCUAUGUGGUGGGGUAACGCCUCACCAAGGCGACGAUGCCUAGCCGGCCUGAGAGGGUGAUCAGCCACACUGGAACUGAGACACGGCCCAGACUCCUACGGGAGGCAGCAGUAGGGAAUAUUGGGUAAUGGACGCAAGCCUGACCGAGCAAUGCCGCGUGAGUGAAGAAGGCUUUCGGAUCGUAAAACUCUGUCGUUAGAGAAGCGUUAUCUAACCAGAAAGCCCCGGCUAACUCCGUGCCAGCCGCCGCGGUAAUAC
Molecule: ribosomal RNA, 403 nt
Filed under: uncultured bacterium
Lineage: Bacteria
Description: partial 16S ribosomal RNA
Rfam family: Bacterial small subunit ribosomal RNA
Source: RNAcentral